This 120-nucleotide transfer RNA is filed under the name Stegodyphus mimosarum. It matches the Rfam family "tRNA". From Rfam's summary of the family: Transfer RNA (tRNA) molecules are approximately 80 nucleotides in length. The record is from Rfam by way of RNAcentral. Lineage: Eukaryota; Metazoa; Arthropoda; Arachnida; Araneae; Eresidae.
GUCAGGAUGGCCGAGCGGUCUAAGGCGCCAGACUCAAGGUAUUUCCUUACCCACUUUGAAUGGGUUGAUGGGUGUUCUGGUCCACGGAUGUGGGCGUGGGUUCGAAUCCCACUUCUGACA